GAUUCCCCUAGUAACUGCGAGUGAAGCGGGAAAAGCUCAAAUUUAAAAUCUGGCGGUCUUUGGCCGUCCGAGUUGUAGUCUGGAGAAGUGCUUUCCGCGCUGGACCGUGUAUAAGUCUCUUGGAACAGAGCGUCAUAGAGGGUGAGAAUCCCGUCUUUGACACGGACUACCAGUGCUUUGUGAUGCGCUCUCGAAGAGUCGAGUUGUUUGGGAAUGCAGCUCAAAAUGGGUGGUAAAUUCCAUCUAAAGCUAAAUAUUGGCGAGAGACCGAUAGCGAACAAGUACCGUGAGGGAAAGAUGAAAAGCACUUUGGAAAGAGAGUUAAACAGUACGUGAAAUUGCUGAAAGGGAAACGCUUGAAGUCAGUCGCGUCUGCCGGAACUCAGCCUUGCUUUCGCUUGGUGCAUUUUCCGGUAGACGGGCCAGCAUCGAUUUUGACCGUCGGAAAAGGGCCAGGGAAAUGUGGCACCUUCGGGUGUGUUAUAGUCUCUGGUCGUAUACGACGGUUGGGAUCGAGGAACGCAGCGCGCCGCAAGGCAGGGGUUCGCCCACUUUCGCGCUUAGGAUGCUGGCGUAAUGGCUUUAAACGACCCGUCUUGAAACACGGACCAA
Molecule: ribosomal RNA, 612 nt
Filed under: Coriolopsis gallica
Lineage: Eukaryota; Fungi; Basidiomycota; Agaricomycetes; Polyporales; Polyporaceae
Description: eukaryotic LSU rRNA
Rfam family: Eukaryotic large subunit ribosomal RNA
Source: RNAcentral